Molecule: ribosomal RNA, 359 nt
Filed under: Phyllocoptes sp. GD109
Lineage: Eukaryota; Metazoa; Arthropoda; Arachnida; Trombidiformes; Eriophyidae
Description: partial small subunit ribosomal RNA
Source: RNAcentral
CCUAGUUUAGGAGCGGCGGGCGAUAUGUGCAUAAGCUUAUUCUCUUUCAAUUUUUAUUUAAUUUCCUUAUUUUUUAAUUUUAGGUUCUCUUUGGUUUUAAUUUAUUUAUUCUCUAUUAACUUUCAUUUUAAGUGUCACGUGUUCUCUUUCCUAUUUCCCUUGCCUAGAUCUGUUUUUAUACUAAAAGUCUUUUAAAAUUUAUUUUAGUAAAACUUUUAAAGCGAUGGUAUAAGGAGUUAUAAAGAAAGUUAUUUUUAAAUGUGGGCUAUCUUUGAUGAAACAGGACCCCCUAAUGAAAAACUUACCGCCAUUUUAUCUAGUUUUUUCUUCUUUAGUUACUAUCCUUCUUCUAUAUAAAG